AUUACUAAGCGGAGGAAAAGAAAAUAACGAUGAUUNCCCCAGUAACGGCGAGUGAAGUGGGAAGAGCCUAGCACUGAAUCCCUUGCCGAUGCGGCAACGGGAGCUGUAGUGUUUGGGACGGCCUCUGUGCGGUGCGCGGCGAUUCGAAGUUCGCUUGAAGGCGGCUUACUGGGCUUCGUUCGAGGCCUUGCCAGAGAGGGUGUCAGACCCGUGUGGAACGUCGCGUCCUCGCGCUUUGGUCUCGUCUCCAGAGUCGGGCUGUUUGGGAAUGCAGCCCAAAUGGGGUGGUAAACUCCAUCCAAGGCUAAAUACGCUCGCGAGUCCGAUAGCGGACCAAGUACCGCGAGGGAAAGUUGAAAAGAACUUUGAAGAGAGAGUUCAAGAGUACGUGAAACCGCUGAGAGGUAAACGGAUGGGAUCGCAAUUGCUCGCGGUGAGAUUCAGCUUUCGUUCGGUCGGCNACGUCCGGCUGUCGCCUGCUUGUCGGUGCNUUCUCUCGGGAGCGUAUCGCA
Molecule: ribosomal RNA, 512 nt
Filed under: Bonellia sp. RG-2015-2
Lineage: Eukaryota; Metazoa; Annelida; Polychaeta; Echiuroidea; Bonelliidae
Description: eukaryotic LSU rRNA
Rfam family: Eukaryotic large subunit ribosomal RNA
Source: RNAcentral